GACGAACGCUGGCGGCGUGCUUAACACAUGCAAGUCGAACGGAAAGGCCUGCUUUCCCUUGUGGAUUGCGGGUACUCGAGUGGCGAACGGGUGAGUAACACGUGAGUGAUCUGCCCCCAACUUGGGUAUAAGCCUGGGAAACUGGGUCUAAUUCCCGAUAGGACUGCAGGGUGGUGCCUGUGGUGGAAAACGAUUUUCUAGUGGUUGGGGAUGAGCUCGCGGCCUAUCAGCUUGUUGGUGGGGUAAUGGCCUACCAAGGCGGCGACGGGGAGCCGGCCUGGGAGGGUUGGCGGGCACAUUUGGACUAGGAAACGGGCCCGGCGACUACGGGGGGGAAGAGGUGGGGAAAAUAGAAAAUGGGGGGGAGGCUGGAGCAGGAGCGGCGGCGGGGGGAUGAAGGGCUUCGGGUUGUUAACUCCUUUAGACCGCGGGGAAGCCCACUGGUUGGAAGGGGGGUGGAGGUAGUGGUAGGAGAAGCACCGGCUAACCACCUG
RNAcentral lists this ribosomal RNA (494 nucleotides) under uncultured bacterium. RNAcentral's name for it is "partial 16S ribosomal RNA". It matches the Rfam family "Bacterial small subunit ribosomal RNA", at positions 28 to 507 of the family's 1533-position model. The record is from RNAcentral.